AUUGAACGCUGGCGGCAUGCCUUACACAUGCAAGUCGAACGGCAGCACGGGAGCAAUCCUGGUGGCGAGCGGCGAACGGGUGAGUAAUAUAUCGGAACGUGCCCAGUCGUGGGGGAUAACGCAGCGAAAGCUGUGCUAAUACCGCAUACGAUCUACGGAUGAAAGCGGGGGAUCGCAAGACCUCGCGCGAUUGGAGCGGCCGAUAUCAGAUUAGCUAGUUGGUGGGGUAAAGGCCCACCAAGGCGACGAUCUGUAGCUGGUCUGAGAGGACGACCAGCCACACUGGAACUGAGACACGGUCCAGACUCCUACGGGAGGCAGCAGUGGGGAAUUUUGGACAAUGGGCGCAAGCCUGAUCCAGCAAUGCCGCGUGCAGGAUGAAGGCCUUCGGGUCGUAAACUGCUUUUGUACGGAACGAAACGGCCCUUUCUAAUACAGGGGGCUAAUGACGGUACCGUAAGAAUAAGCACCGGCUAACUACGUGCCAGCCGCCGCGGUAA
RNAcentral lists this ribosomal RNA (500 nucleotides) under uncultured bacterium. Its description in RNAcentral is "partial 16S ribosomal RNA". It matches the Rfam family "Bacterial small subunit ribosomal RNA", at positions 30 to 523 of the family's 1533-position model. The record is from RNAcentral.